UGCAGUAGACGCUGAGACUUUAGCUUGCUAAAGUUGGAAGAGUUGCGAACGGGUGAGUAACGCGUAGGUAACCUGCCUACUAGCGGGGGAUAACUAUUGGAAACGAUAGCUAAUACCGCAUAACAGCAUUUAACCCAUGUUAGAUGCUUGAAAGGAGCAAUUGCUUCACUAGUAGAUGGACCUGCGUUGUAUUAGCUAGUUGGUGAGGUAACGGCUCACCAAGGCGACGAUACAUAGCCGACCUGAGAGGGUGAUCGGCCACACUGGGACUGAGACACGGCCCAGACUCCUACGGGAGGCAGCAGUAGGGAAUCUUCGGCAAUGGGGGCAACCCUGACCGAGCAACGCCGCGUGAGUGAAGAAGGUUUUCGGAUCGUAAAGCUCUGUUGUAAGAGAAGAACGUGUGUGAGAGUGGAAAGU
RNAcentral lists this ribosomal RNA (420 nucleotides) under Streptococcus lutetiensis. Its description in RNAcentral is "bacterial SSU rRNA". It matches the Rfam family "Bacterial small subunit ribosomal RNA", at positions 56 to 463 of the family's 1533-position model. The record is from RNAcentral. Lineage: Bacteria; Bacillati; Bacillota; Bacilli; Lactobacillales; Streptococcaceae.